GGCGCGUCCCUGAAAGCCGGCGGGCUGAGACUCAGGCGCCGGCUGCGAGGUUUACCCUGCCUGCCGCCUUCCGCCUUUGUUUACUAGGUGGGGCGCUUCAAAACUGGUCACGUUUCUAAUUCCCUGUCACUCGGGGACGCCAGGGACUGCCAGGUGGACUCCAAGGCCUGAUUUUCCCUGUCUUCACAGAGAAGAGCGAUGUUGCCUCCCAGUGCGGCCCCGGAUCCUGGCAGGGCUAGCCGGUGCCUCUGGACUAGGCCUUGGUGUUCGUCGUCCCUUCCCUCCCUGACUGUGUGCUCUAGCUCCGUAGUCGGUGACUUCUUCCUGCUUGAUUGCUGAACUGCAAGUGGCCACGUUACAAAAGGAAGAACUAAGUGUUUGCGAAAGCUGAUGCCCCAGAAGGCACAGGUUACCUGUUGGUGGACAUUGAGGUUGCCUCCAGUUUGGGCUCUUACAAAUAAAACUAUGUGAAAGGCUCUGUGUGGACAUGUGCGUUCACUUUUCUUGGCUCCAUAUGGCAUUAACAGCUGGUGAGCUUCUGGAGAAGAUGGAUGGUUGGAUUGUCUCCAGAUGACUAGCCCCUGGUGUAGCCUAGCCCAAUCGUUUUGGCAUGUUUUCACAAACUCUAGUCUUCAAAUUUGCAUUUCAAAGAAAUUCCUUGGCAGUCCAGUGGUUAGAACUUGGCACUUUCACUGUCAUGGCCCUGGUUCAAUCCUCGGUGGAGAAAUAAGAUUCCACAAGCCACGAAGAGUAGCCAAAAACAAAAAGCGAACAGUUUCUUGGCUCCUCCCUUACUUCUUCAGAACAGUCCCCUCGGAGCUAUCUGAGAGGCUGUAUGCCAGUCUUAAGUCCUCAGUAAGUCUGCUGAAUAAAAUGUGAUUCUCGACUUUUAGGUUGUACAUGUGUUUUUCAUUCAGUAAAUGUAUUGGUCAACUGGCAACUGGAGACAGCUGCUUCCUAUCUCUGGCAUUGGGCAAAUACCUUGCCCAGGGUGCCAGUGUUACAGCAGGUAGGUAAGUGCAGAGAAACGGGCCAGGGACCAAGUGGCAGGAAAUCGCGCAGGUUGUAAACAG
Long non-coding RNA from Bos taurus (domestic cattle), 1073 nucleotides. The record is from Ensembl. NCBI's taxonomy places the organism in Eukaryota, Metazoa, Chordata, Mammalia, Artiodactyla, Bovidae.